GACUUUUUAAUUUGGUGGGUGCAAAUAGAUCGAUCUUGUUCUUGCGUGCCUUGUCUCAAUUAUUUUGUUUCUGCGUGUGUGUGUGUUUAUCUUUGUGUGUGUAAUGGAAAGGCAUCAUCAUCAGCAUCAAGUCAGUGUUAACGUUGAUACUGAUAGGUUUCCUCAAUGGAGCAUUCAAGAAACGAAGCAUUUCUUGAUGAUUCGAGCAGAACUAGAUCGAACUUUCAUGGAGACCAAAAGAAACAAGCUUCUUUGGCAAGUGAUCUCUAACAAAAUGAAAGAAAAGGGCUUUCAUCGCAGUGCAGAACAGUGCAAGUGCAAGUGGAAAAACCUCGU
This 336-nucleotide unclassified non-coding RNA is filed under the name Hevea brasiliensis (rubber tree). Lineage: Eukaryota; Viridiplantae; Streptophyta; Magnoliopsida; Malpighiales; Euphorbiaceae. The record is from RNAcentral.